UACGUAGGGUGCGAGCGUUGUCCGGAAUUACUGGGCGUAAAGAGCUUGUAGGUGGUUUGUCGCGUUGUUCGUGAAAUCUCACGGCUUAACUGUGAGCGUGCGGGCGAUACGGGCAGACUAGAGUACUGCAGGGGAGACUGGAAUUCCUGGUGUAGCGGUGGAAUGCGCAGAUAUCAGGAGGAACACCGGUGGCGAAGGCGGGUCUCUGGGCAGUAACUGACGCUGAGAAGCGAAAGCGUGGGGAGCGGACAGG
This 253-nucleotide ribosomal RNA is filed under the name uncultured bacterium. RNAcentral describes it as "partial 16S ribosomal RNA". It matches the Rfam family "Bacterial small subunit ribosomal RNA", at positions 524 to 776 of the family's 1533-position model. The record is from RNAcentral.